Molecule: unclassified non-coding RNA, 90 nt
Filed under: Pseudomonas migulae
Lineage: Bacteria; Pseudomonadati; Pseudomonadota; Gammaproteobacteria; Pseudomonadales; Pseudomonadaceae
Source: RNAcentral
UGUGGGAGCGGGCUUGCUCGCGAUAACGGUAGAUCAGUCAAAUUAUCUGUUGAAUGACACACCGCUAUCGCGAGCAAGCCCGCUCCCACA